GUACUGGCAUUGUCGGUUUCUCCCUUCUGACGAACCAUGAUGUCAUUUAUUUGGUGUUGUGGGGAAUCAGGACUGUUACUUUGAAAAAAUUAGAGUGUUUAAAGCAGGCUCACGCUUGAAUACAUUAGCAUGGAAUAAUGAAAUAGGACGUUUGAUUCUAUUUUGUUGGUUUCUAGGAUCGACGUAAUGAUUAAUAGGGAUAGUUGGGGGCAUUAGUAUUCAAUUGUCAGAGGUGAAAUUCUUGGAUUUAUUGAAGACUAACUACUGCGAAAGCAUUUGCCAAGGAUGUUUUCAUUAAUCAAGAACGAAAGUUAGGGGAUCGAAGACGAUCAGAUACCGUCGUAGUCUUAACCAUAAACUAUGCCGACUAGGGAUCGGAUGAUGUUAAUUUUUUAAUGACUCAUUCGGCGCCUUACG
RNAcentral lists this ribosomal RNA (417 nucleotides) under uncultured Glomeromycotina. RNAcentral describes it as "SSU rRNA". It matches the Rfam family "Eukaryotic small subunit ribosomal RNA", at positions 677 to 1092 of the family's 1831-position model. Lineage: Eukaryota; Fungi; Glomeromycota. The record is from RNAcentral.